GUGCUUGCACUGAUCCAAUCGAGUGGCGGACGGGUGAGUAACGCGUGGGUAACCUGCCUCAUACAGGGGAAUAACAGUUGGAAACGGCUGCUAAAACCGCAUAAGCGCACAGUAUCGCAUGAUACAGUGUGAAAAACUCCGGUGGUAUGAGAUGGACCCGCGUCUGAUUAGCUAGUUGGUGAGGUAACGGCCCACCAAGGCAACGAUCAGUAGCCGGCCUGAGAGGGUGAACGGCCACAUUGGGACUGAGACACGGCCCAAACUCCUACGGGAGGCAGCAGUGGGGAAUAUUGCACAAUGGGGGAAACCCUGAUGCAGCGACGCCGCGUGAGUGAUGAAGUAUUUCGGUAUGUAAAGCUCUAUCAGCAGGGAAGAUAAUGACGGUACCUGACUAAGAAGCACCGGCUAAAUACGUGCCAGCAGCCGCGGUAAUACGUAUGGCGCAAGCGUUAUCCGGAUUUACUGGGUGUAAAGGGUGCGUAGGUGGUGAGACAAGUCUGAAGUGAAAAUCCGGGGCUUAACCCCGGAACUGCUUUGGAAACUGCCUGACUAGAGUACAGGAGAGGUAAGUGG
This 573-nucleotide ribosomal RNA is filed under the name uncultured bacterium. RNAcentral describes it as "bacterial SSU rRNA". It matches the Rfam family "Bacterial small subunit ribosomal RNA", at positions 76 to 664 of the family's 1533-position model. The record is from RNAcentral.